This 433-nucleotide ribosomal RNA is filed under the name uncultured bacterium. RNAcentral describes it as "bacterial SSU rRNA". It matches the Rfam family "Bacterial small subunit ribosomal RNA", at positions 29 to 507 of the family's 1533-position model. The record is from RNAcentral.
AACGAACGCUGGCGGCAGGCCUAACACAUGCAAGUCGAGCGCGCUCUUCGGAGCGAGCGGCGGACGGGUUAGUAACGCGUGGGAACGUGCCCAGAGGUAGGGAACAACUGCUGGAAACGGCAGCUAAUACCCUAUGAGCCCUACGGGGGAAAGAUUUAUCGCCUUUGGAUCGGCCCGCGUCGGAUUAGCUUGUUGGUGAGGUAACGGCUCACCAAGGCUUCGAUCCGUAGCUGGUUUGAGAGGAUGAUCAGCAACACUGGGACUGAGACACGGCCCAGACUCCUACGGGAGGCAGCAGUGAGGAAUAUUGGACAAUGGGGGAAACCCUGAUCCAGCCAUGCCGCGUGAGUGAAGAAGGCCCUAGGGUUGUAAAGCUCUUUCAGCUGUGAAGAUGAUGACGGUAGCAGCAGAAGAAGCCCCGGCUAACUCCGUG